This 202-nucleotide unclassified non-coding RNA is filed under the name Hevea brasiliensis (rubber tree). Lineage: Eukaryota; Viridiplantae; Streptophyta; Magnoliopsida; Malpighiales; Euphorbiaceae. The record is from RNAcentral.
UCAUCUUGCGAGAAAUCGGAUUGGUCUGGUUCAAAAAUAUGAGAAGAGUCACCAGGCUCCAAAAAUGAAUGAGGGCUAUCGGAAUCGAACACAUCGCUUUUUGCUGAACUUGCCUCUUCUUGUUUGGGAGUCACCCGUAAUGAUGCAUCGGAAACCACUUCAGGGACAGUUUUAGGAACUGGGUUCUGAAGUUCUACAUUGG